RNAcentral lists this transfer RNA (72 nucleotides) under Candidatus Woesearchaeota archaeon. RNAcentral's name for it is "tRNA-Thr". It matches the Rfam family "tRNA". Rfam says of the family: Transfer RNA (tRNA) molecules are approximately 80 nucleotides in length. Their secondary structure includes four short double-helical elements and three loops (D, anti-codon, and T loops). Further hydrogen bonds mediate the characteristic L-shaped molecular structure. tRNAs have two regions of fundamental functional importance: the anti-codon, which is responsible for specific mRNA codon recognition, and the 3' end, to which the tRNAs corresponding amino acid is attached (by aminoacyl-tRNA synthetases). tRNAs cope with the degeneracy of the genetic code in two manners: having more than one tRNA (with a specific anti-codon) for a particular amino acid; and 'wobble' base-pairing, i.e. permitting non-standard base-pairing at the 3rd anti-codon position. The record is from RNAcentral. Lineage: Archaea; Nanobdellati; Candidatus Woesearchaeota.
GCCCAAGUAGCAUAGUGGUAGUGCGCGACCUUGGUAAGGUCGAGGUGGGGAGUUCAAUUCUCCCCUUGGGCU